GAUGAUAAAUCCCUUCACCACCGGCGGGCGGCGGCGCGAUUGCGAGCGGAUCGGUUAUCGAGGCGACCCGGGAAAGAAGACGAUUGCGGGUGUGGAGAGAUCCAACCCAAUCCAAUCCAGUCCAAUCCAACAACAACACAAGGAAAGGAAGAGACGAUGGCGGCUUAUCCGACCAGACGAGACGAUCCCCUGUCGGAGAAGAGGAGGAAGGCGAUUGCGUGGAGCGAAGAGGGAGAGGUCUCGUCGCCUGAUCUCUUCACCUGGGUUCAUCAUCCUGAUUUCUUACGCAAUGACUGCUUGGAACAGGCCAGACGCGACCAAGAAUCAUCAGCUUCCGGCCCUGUGAAAAUCCCCACGCUCGACCGCUUCGAACCCCCGACCCGGUUUCACACCGCCGAGCUCUUCCCCGUCCGUGAAUCUGGAAGCCAGGCCGUCCUCUCCGCCGCCAAGUUUCUCCUAGGGGUUUCGUCCUCUCUUGACGGCGAAUCGCUGAGACGUUGCUCCGGCUUCUGGGUCGGUUGGGACGAGGAGACGAAAACCGGCCUUGUUUUGACAAGUGCGUGGCUCAUUCGCACAAAGGAUGCUCCUUCCGGCGUCUGGUCAGGCGGCCAAGAGUAUGCCCCUCAUGCUCAUGUCACUGUUCAUUUGCUAAAUGGCACCAGUGCAAAGGGCGAUCUGGUCUACUAUCAGCCCCAUUACGAUAUCGCUUUCUUGAAUGUUGAGGUGGGUCAACCAAUCAAGUCACCAUCUUUUUGUAAAAAAGAUGUAAAAUUUGCUCAAGAGGUUUUUCAGCUAGGAAGAGACAAUUCCUUAAAUCUAAGGAUAACAUAUGCUAGGGCAGAAUAUCUGAAUGCAAACAUGUUUGAGCGGCACCACAACGUGUACUUUUCUUCUCUAGAUGGCCAUGAUGAUUAUAAUAAUGAGUAUGACAAUGGGGGGCUAGUUAUUGACUUGAACGGAGAAGUUGUCGGAAUGGUCAACAACCCUGAGAGAUUUGGCUCUUUUAUACCUUCUUCCAUUUUGCUCAAUUGUUUGGAUUCAUGGAAGAAAUAUCGGUACAUUGCUCGGCCCCAUCUUGGGAUGAGAUUUGAGGCCAUCAAGCUUCUAGAGCCUGCUCAUGCUGACAUGUUAUGGCGUAUGUAUGACAUUGAUGACGGUCUUGUUGUUACAGAGGUGUCGAAAGGAUCUAAUGCUGAGAAAUGUGGAAUCCAAAAAGGUGAUCUUAUUGAAUGUAUUAAGGGAGAAUGCAUUUCUACAACAAUUCAGUUGGAAAAUCUGUUGAUGAGCAUAUGCAAAGGCCCUUCAGAUAGUCAAAAUUGCCAUAAUGCUGAAGUUCAUAUUUCUGUCGGGGUAUUUCACACACUCAAAAAAUACCGAAGGAUCGUAGAGUUGACUGCAAAUGUAUCAGACCUUGGAGAAGUUAUUAUUGGAAGAGGUUCAAAAACAUUCUCCUAAUUCUCUGCUUCCUGGUUCUGCCUGGAGGCCUUUUUAGAGUUGGUGGGUGUACUUUGCAACCUGAGUUGACUUUCAACCAGUUGUGCCUUAUCCAGUGAAUAUGUCGUGGAUGGUACUGACCCAGCAUAUGCUGCCCUAAACUUUUCAAUGCUGUAAUAGUCAUCAACAUGUGCUUGGAUCUCAGCUCCCCUGAUUGAGCAGAUGAAGGCCAAUGCAUGAAGGUACUGGAGUCUCUUGAACUGGCUGUCAGAAAAAGGAAAGGUUUCCAUAUUAGAUGUAUUGUGAUGGAUCAUAUGUACUCCAUGUGAAGAUAGUAUCUCGGCGGGCUGUUAGACUCAAAGAAAGUGUGAAUGCAUCUAGUGGACCAUUUUGGAAUGACGUCUGAGAUCCCAUGUUAAAUAGGGAAAUAUGGUCAUGUUGUUGGAAUGAUGUUUUGCUUGACCUUCUGUUUGACGAGAUUUUAUCAUGAUUUGUUAGUUAC
Molecule: RNA transcript, 1936 nt
Organism: Hordeum vulgare subsp. vulgare (domesticated barley)
Lineage: Eukaryota; Viridiplantae; Streptophyta; Magnoliopsida; Poales; Poaceae
Exons: 11
Source: RefSeq, a predicted model, not a curated record